Molecule: non-coding RNA, 76 nt
Organism: Flavobacteriaceae bacterium JJC
Lineage: Bacteria; Pseudomonadati; Bacteroidota; Flavobacteriia; Flavobacteriales; Flavobacteriaceae
Source: Rfam
CCUUAGCCCCGAUUGCAGCGGCAUCCUUUUGUGCAGCGCAGCGGAACAAAAGAUAUAGCGGAAAGCGGGAAUAAGC